GACGAACGCUGGCGGCGUGCUAAUACAUGCAAGUCGAACGCUUUUUCUUUCACCGGAGCUUGCUCCACCGAAAGAAGAGGAGUGGCGAACGGGUGAGUAACACGUGGGUAACCUGCCCAUCAGAAGGGGAUAACACUUGGAAACAGGUGCUAAUACCGUAUAACAAUAGAAACCGCAUGGUUUCUAUUUGAAAGGCGCUUUUGCGUCACUGAUGGAUGGACCCGCGGUGCAUUAGCUAGUUGGUGAGGUAACGGCUCACCAAGGCAACGAUGCAUAGCCGACCUGAGAGGGUGAUCGGCCACAUUGGGACUGAGACACGGCCCAAACUCCUACGGGAGGCAGCAGUAGGGAAUCUUCGGCAAUGGACGAAAGUCUGACCGAGCAACGCCGCGUGAGUGAAGAAGGUUUUCGGAUCGUAAAACUCUGUUGUUAGAGAAGAACAAGGAUGAGAGUAAAAUGUUCAUCCCUUGACGGUAUCUAACCAGAAAGCCACGGCUAACUACGUGCCAGCAGCCGCGGUAAUACGUAGGUGGCAAGCGUUGUCCGGAUUUAUUGGGCGUAAAGCGAGCGCAGGCGGUUUCUUAAGUCUGAUGUGAAAGCCCCCGGCUCAACCGGGGAGGGUCAUUGGAAACUGGGAAACUUGAGUGCAGAAGAGGAGAGUGGAAUUCCAUGUGUAGCGGUGAAAUGCGUAGAUAUAUGGAGGAACACCAGUGGCGAAGGCGGCUCUCUGGUCUGUAACUGAUGCUGAGGCUCGAAAGCGUGGGGAGCAAACAGGAU
Molecule: ribosomal RNA, 777 nt
Filed under: Enterococcus gilvus
Lineage: Bacteria; Bacillati; Bacillota; Bacilli; Lactobacillales; Enterococcaceae
Description: bacterial SSU rRNA
Rfam family: Bacterial small subunit ribosomal RNA
Source: RNAcentral